GGAGGCUCGGCAGGGGGCUGGGCUGCUGGGGGUGGCCACGCUGCUGAGGGUGGCCACAGACCCGUGGGCCCGGCUGGGGGCGGCCACAGACCCGUGGGCCCGGCUGGGGGCGGCCACAGACCCUCUGGGCCUGGCUCUUUUUCCUGUCCUUUGGCUCUUCAUACCUUCCCCCAUCUUCUCUGUUUCUGUCUCUCCUUGUCUCUCUAUCUCUGUCAUCUCUGUCUGGAUUGUGGGUUCAGAUCCUUGCUCUGUGAGGCGAGGCAGAGACCUUCCUUCUGGAACUCAGACCCGAGUCUGUAAAAUAAGGGAGAUGGAUUUCUUACCCUCCUCAGUGCCAGCUCCUGUGAUGGUAGGAAGGCAGAGGAGGGAGGCCAUGGAGAAGGGGCAGGAAGGAUGGAGAUCCCUGAGACCUUCGAGACAACGUGAGGGCCUUCCCAAGGGGGAGGAGGAGGCUCCUCAGGAAGAAGCUGCUCUGGUCACGAGGGUCCUAGAUCACGUAGGCUCAAAGCAAGCCAGAGAAAUAAGCCAGAAGAGUCCUCAGGGACCACUGAACUCAUCUUACAGAUGGGGAAACUGAGGGCGAGAGAGAGCUUGCCAUCUCAGAGUAGGAGCCAAGAAGGGACUUUGAAAUUCAAAAUGAGAGCCAGUUGUCUUGUGGCAGACACUCCCACCCCUGCAGCUGCUCCAGGGAUGACACAGGCCUUUGUUCCAGUUCCACAUCCUCCUUUUCCUUCUCGCCUCAAAUAGAUCCAACAUACACCAGAAGGAGGCAGGUCCCAUGAAAGACAAAAAAAAAAAAAAUAAUAAUCCCAGAAGGAGGCAGAUCCCAUGAAAAUAAAAAAAAAUAAUCCCAGAAGGAGGCAGGUCCCAUGAAAGUAAAAAAAAAUAAUCCCAGAAGGAGGCAGGUCCCAUGAAAGUAAAAAAAAAUAAUCCCCGAAGGAGGCAGGUCCCAUGAAAAUAAAAAAAAUAAUCCCAGAAGGAGGCAGGUCUCAUGAAAAUCAAAAUAAUAAUCCUAGAAGGAGGCAGAUCCCAUGAAAGUAAAAAAAAAAAAAAUCCUAGAAAGAGGCAGGUCCCAUGAAAGUAAAAAAAAAAAUAAUCCCAGAAGGAGGCAGGUCCCAUGAAAAUCAAAAAAAUAAUCCCAGAAGGAGGCAGGUCCCAUGAAAAUCAAAAUAAUAAUCCUUGAAGGAGGCAGGUCCCAUGAAAGUAAAAAAAAAAAUCCCAGAAAGAGGCAGGUCCCAUGAAAGUAA
Molecule: long non-coding RNA, 1247 nt
Organism: Antechinus flavipes (yellow-footed antechinus)
Lineage: Eukaryota; Metazoa; Chordata; Mammalia; Dasyuromorphia; Dasyuridae
Exons: 3
Source: RefSeq, a predicted model, not a curated record